UACGUAGGAUGCAAGCGUUGUCCGGAAUACUGGGCGUAAAGCGUGCGCAGGCGGUGAUGUAAGACAGAUGUGAAAUCCCCGGGCUCAACCUGGGAACUGCAUUUGUGACUGCAUCGCUGGAGUGCGGCAGAGGGGGAUGGAAUUCCGCGUGUAGCAGUGAAAUGCGUAGAUAUGCGGAGGAACACCGAUGGCGAAGGCAAUCCCCUGGGCCUGCACUGACGCUCAUGCACGAAAGCGUGGGGAGCAAACAGG
This 252-nucleotide ribosomal RNA is filed under the name uncultured bacterium. Its description in RNAcentral is "partial 16S ribosomal RNA". It matches the Rfam family "Bacterial small subunit ribosomal RNA", at positions 524 to 776 of the family's 1533-position model. The record is from RNAcentral.